This 21-nucleotide non-coding RNA is filed under the name Arabidopsis thaliana (thale cress). RNAcentral also lists the same sequence under 2 other names. Lineage: Eukaryota; Viridiplantae; Streptophyta; Magnoliopsida; Brassicales; Brassicaceae. The record is from RNAcentral.
CGGGUAAACGGCGGGAGUAAC